UACAGAGGGUGCAAGCGUUAAUCGGAAUUACUGGGCGUAAAGCGUGCGUAGACGGUUAUGUAAGUCAGGUGUGAAAGCCCCGGGCUCAACCUGGGAGGUGCGCUCGAGACUCUGGUGCUGGAGUUCGGGAGAGGAGCGUGGAAUUCCCAGUGUAGAGGUGAAAUUCGUAGAUAUUGGGAAGAACACCGGUGGCGAAGGCGGCGCUCUGGACCGAGACUGACGCUGAGGCGCGAAGGCGUGGGGAGCAAACAGG
This 253-nucleotide ribosomal RNA is filed under the name uncultured bacterium. RNAcentral's name for it is "partial 16S ribosomal RNA". It matches the Rfam family "Bacterial small subunit ribosomal RNA", at positions 524 to 776 of the family's 1533-position model. The record is from RNAcentral.